UUCAGUUCUCCCUUUCUGCAGCUUUAGUGAUUCGUUUGACGACCCGGUGUAAGUAUAACCGGUCCAGUUCAACCUGAAUUUGAUCGCCGUCAGCACAGCCUCUGAAAGCGACACCCUGCUGGCGUCUCCAUGCUUUAAAUGCGGCUCGCCAGAGACCACAGCUCGUGUGUGAGUGUUUGCAUGUGCUCGUCCAUGUUUUCUGCAUGCUCCUGUGAGUGUGUGUGUGUCUAUGUUAUCACAGUCCCCCAGAAUACCCUUUGGAAAGUCUUCAUGCCGCUGACACGGGCUGUGAAAAAUCUGGAAAUGAGUGCUGCCCUAAUGCCACUGCCUUAAUUUGUUAUCUGAAAAGAGAAUGAUUACUCAUGAAAUUCAACCAAACCUCAGACUAUUUGAGCCGAGCCAGAUAACGAGCUCGCUCCCCGGCAGCCCUCUGCUACCCUCGUCUCCAAGGAUUUGGAGAAAAGUUCGGCGCUGCCUCUCUUCCUCAAGUCGCCUGCUUUCAAGUCAGCUUGUUUGAACACGAUGCCGGCCUGCAGACCGGGCGGCGGACAGCGCCACCUUCCUGGUAGAGACGCAGAGGGAAGGAGCCAGCGCUCCCUACGCCUCAUUAAAACACACACACACUCUGCUCUCUGUGGGGAAUUGACACAGAAUCCAUACGUUUCGCUGAAUUCUCACUCACUUGACUCUUUUUAAGUCUUUAAGUCAAGAAGAUGUGCAGAGCAAAGCGUCGUGGCGGGGUGGAGGAGCUGAGCGCAGCAGAGUCGAGCCAGCAGAGGGGGGAUCUGCUCCUUCAAUCUGUGUUUCUGCAGGGUGCCCUAAUCAAAGGCACCCGGGCCCGUCUGCGGCACCCAGAGCAAACCGGCUGGGCCCGUCAUUAAAGGCAGCCAACGCAGCAGUGGGCGACACUACACCAGCGGCCCCCGAGGAUUAGGCUCUGUGUUUACACCCCACUAAUCUCAUCCCUCUGUCCUCCCCGAGAAGAGACGGCUGGAUGCGGGGAGAGGAGAUGGAGGGGAGCGGGGAGAGCCAGCCGAGCUCUCAUCUCUCCACGGCGACCAUCUCUGGGCUUUUUCUCACAGCGGGCGAACAGAUGAAAUGAAAUCAAAUGCGAAACGGAGAGAGAAGGGAGACAGGGAGGCAUCGAGCGGAGGAGUGGUGUUCAGUGUCAGAGAGGGGGAGGAAGACGAAGGAGGAGGGUGAGCCUCCUGCCAAGUCCCCCUCCCCCACCCCACUUUAAACUCUCCUGCAUGUCAGCCAUUACUGUAAGUGCAGGAUAUAACUGUGGAGCAGUUGGAGAGCGUCACACAAAUCUUCAAAUCAAACAUUGCUACAUUACAAGGCGAUGAUAAUGCGCCGCUGCUCGGCUUCUGCUGCCUAAGCACUUUUUCUGCUGCCAAAUAUUCAUGGCUGUGCAGUAAUUGUGAGGCCGGGAAAAUGGAAGUGUUAGCAACGUUCUUUAUGAGUGACCUGGAUCCCUCUCAGGGGGGCUGCGACCUCGCCGUGACCCCCAACGCCACCACAGAAGAAGAACCCUUCUCCUUUCAUCUCUAACCACCUUUUAUAAACAUUAGAGCCACGAGAGUCGUCUUCGCUUUUAUCGGAAACUUUGGAUGUAAAUCCCGAGUCGAGGGAUUUGACUCUGAGGCAGCAGGAAGGCGACUUUCACGCUGAGACUGAUCCGACUGGACAGCAGCUGGAGUAAAAGGCAUCUCCGCCGUGCCGCUUUCACCGAGGGCAGAGAGGGUGAAGGGCGUGUCGCUCCGACAGAGAGACCAACUCUUUGCUGUCAGAUAAAAUCUGAUCAGCUCUGCCUCUGCAUCUUCAGACAUCUCAGGAUCUGAACUUCCCUCCCAAACCGCUAAACAUCAAGCGCAAAAUCAAUUUUGAUACGCAAAAUCAACAGAUCCCGGCAUUUCUUACACCAAAACUCAAUUGCAAGUUUAUUGGAAUUUAAUUGUCAGACAUUGGGUGAUUAAUGCUAACUCCCACCUGCAGGUGGCAGUAUUUUUUACAUCUACUACACUGCUGACAGCUAACAAAAAGUUACACUUACUGUCACA
Long non-coding RNA from Poecilia latipinna (sailfin molly), 2063 nucleotides. RefSeq lists it as uncharacterized. The transcript has 2 exons. The record is from RefSeq and is a predicted model, not a curated record. NCBI's taxonomy places the organism in Eukaryota, Metazoa, Chordata, Actinopteri, Cyprinodontiformes, Poeciliidae.